Lolium perenne is the source of this 1413-nucleotide long non-coding RNA. RefSeq lists it as uncharacterized. The record is from RefSeq and is a predicted model, not a curated record. NCBI's taxonomy places the organism in Eukaryota, Viridiplantae, Streptophyta, Magnoliopsida, Poales, Poaceae.
CACCAAUCCCUCGCACGCCUCCUCCUCUCCCAAAUCCCCAAUCCCGUCGCCCGGUUCCUCCUCCCCAAUCCCAGGCCUCGCACCGCGCCCCAUUCCCCGACGCUCCUCUCCAUCGGCGGCAUCCGCUGCUUCGCGCCGCUACCCCGUCGUCAUUGCUAGGGCCGCCUCCCCUUCCCGCCCCUUCCUUCCUCAGCGCACGUCGUCGUCCCCACCCCGACGCUCGCCGUCAUAGCCUUCUUCGUCGAGUCAGCGCUCGAGGACGCGGAGCAGAAGCCCUCCAUAGGGGCGCUCGUGCUGGAGACGGCGGCGAGGUGAGCACGAAGGAGUUGCAGCCUUGAGGCACCUCCACCUCGCGCCCCACCCCAUCUCUCACCCAAUCUCCUCCCUCUCCACUCCACAUCGUGGUAGAGCCGCCGCCACCACGCCAUAUCCUCGUCGAGCCACCACCCCAUGUAGUGGUCGACCUUGUCGCGUUGCCGUCGCCGUCGCCUGGAGGGAGCAUAGGCGGCCGCUCGCACCACCACCGCGGGAUGUCGCCAUUACCGGGAGGAGGUUUGCGGAGGGGAAUCGGCAGAUUGAUGCGGGGGAUUGAGCAAAGAGUGAACGAGGGUGGCCUCGGGCCGCCAGCGAGCUCGCCCUCUCGUCCUCAUGGGGGACGCUGUCGUCCGGGCAACGUCUUCCUGUGCGGUCUCCGGCUCUAUCGGGAGAUUUAGGAUGACGGUCUACGCGGCCUUCGCUCUUCGGUACUGUCGGGAGAUUGAGGCGGACGGUCUACGCGGCCUCCGGCACUGUCGGGAGAUUGGGGAGGAUGGUCGUCCAGCUCAGAGAUCCGGCCUCCUCAUCUCCAUCCACAUCACCAGGACGCGCACCUGUAGCUUGACCCUUACACCGUCCUCUGAAGUGCUUCUCCCAGAUAUGGCUCAACACUGUUGAUUCAACAGGGCUUGGUGAUGCGGCUCCGGCACAGGCUGUAUGGCCUUGUUUUCCAAGAUUGAUAUGUCAUCGGAGAUGGUACAUCUGAUGAGUAUUAGGAUGGUGUUGUGCGAGUCUUUUUAAUUUUUUCCUCCUGAGUACUGUACAAAUAUGAGAGAUAUUCAUGCAUCUCAUAUUGUGGAAGAAUACCUUGAUUCGCUGACUAGAUGAGCAAGGUAACCAAGCUGAGGAGAGACCUGUUGAUUUGGACUUGCGGGAGCGUGUCUCAGAUGGCUACAUUAUCGGGGUUUUCGGAUUUCCUCUUCAUAUGUUAUUCUAUAGUCGAGCUGAUUGAAGUGUACUGUUGCAACUUGUGUGUAUGUGUUUACCAAUGCUGCAGUAGGUAAAUGAAUUUUAAUGGGCAUACACAUUAGAAGAAAUCAAUGUGUUUCACGAUGAAAUAUGAUUUACAAGUGCAUGAGGAAGGACAUUUUCUUUGAA